GGAAGUUAUGUUAAUUCAAGAGAUGGAAUUACAUUCAAAGAAUAAUAUUUAAUAAAAGAACACUAAACUUUGUAAGGUCUUUCAACAAUAUAUUGCCAAACCCCAUAAGAGAACUCAAAUUGUGAAUCUACUUUGGUUUUUCAGAGUGGCAGCAAUUACGCUUAUUUGGAGCAGCUUGAGAGCUUGUCUGCGAAAGGACGCCCUAUCCCUGUGCGCCUUGAAGCACUGCCGCAAGUGGAAUCACAGGUAGCAGCAGCACGGGCAUGGAGAGAACGGACUGGGCGGACCUUUCUUAAGAAGAAUUCUAGCCAUACAUUGUUACAGGUGCUGAGCCCCCGGACUGACAUUGGUGUAUAUGGGAGUGGCAAAAAUAGGAGGAAAAAAGUAAAAGAACU
This 395-nucleotide small RNA is filed under the name Pongo abelii (Sumatran orangutan). Its description in RNAcentral is "retained intron". Lineage: Eukaryota; Metazoa; Chordata; Mammalia; Primates; Hominidae. The record is from RNAcentral.